CUUCUCGUGGUGUAGUUGGCAACGCGCCUGUCUAGUGAGUAGGAGUCGUGAGUUGGAGUCUCACUGAGAGGA
Non-coding RNA from Aedes albopictus (Asian tiger mosquito), 72 nucleotides. Lineage: Eukaryota; Metazoa; Arthropoda; Insecta; Diptera; Culicidae. The record is from Rfam.